This 881-nucleotide long non-coding RNA is filed under the name Amborella trichopoda. Its description in RNAcentral is "long non-coding RNA (ATRI_LNC001979)". The record is from RNAcentral. Lineage: Eukaryota; Viridiplantae; Streptophyta; Magnoliopsida; Amborellales; Amborellaceae.
GGGAGAGUGAAGCGAGUGAGAUUAAUGACAAUUUCAAGCAACAUUUUGAAGAGGGAUUUGAGGUAUUUUCCAUGAAAAAUGAACUCAAAUUCUUCUUGAUGUUUCAUUUUCCUAUAAGUAAGAUCAGUUUAAUUGUUGUGUUUGUAAAGAGUUUUUUGAGCAUGCAACUCAAAAACUCUUAUUGUUUAUGAUAUGGUUAUAUCUUGUUAGUGUGCUCACCAGAUACCCUAUUGCAUCUCGUUUUUGUAUCAAGUAGGGGGUGAUUAACACUUCGAACAAAGCCAGCUCCUUUCGUGUUUCCAGAUCCUGAUCUUUGUUGCCCCAUUAUAUAACCUCCUAAUCCAGAUUCCGACUCCUACUGGAGUCCGACUGGUACUAAGAGUGUUUUAGUUUUCCUGAUAUAACCUCCGAAUCCAGAUUCCUACUCCAACAGGAAUCCGAUUGGCACUAGGAGUGUUUCAUUUUUCUAGAUAUAAGCUUCAAAUCCAGAUUCCGACUCUAUUGGAGUCCGACUGGUACUAGGACGUUCUGAUGCAAUCCAAGCUUUAUCUCGGUCUAGGGGAGGUGCUGCUGAAUUUUUCCUAGGAUGAGAGUUAGUACUAGGCUUAUCAAGUAUAAGUUCCACUUAUGAGAGGGUAGUCAGAUCUAUCGAUCGUAAGUUCAAGCUAUCAAUCGUGAGUUCAAGAUAUCGAUCGUGAGUUCAAGCUAUCAACCGUGAGUUCAAGCUAUCGAUCGUGGGUUCAAGCUAUCGACUGUGAGUUUAAGCUAUCAGUCAUGAGUUCAAGCUAUCAGUUGUGAGUUGAAGCUAUCGACUGUGAGUUCAAGCUAUUGAAUGUGCGUUCCAGCUAUCGACAGUCUGUUAAGUUUUCCAUCGUGCAACA